UUUUUUUUUUCUUCCUCGAUUUGGUGUUUGGAAAUGUGGAUGUGAUUUUUUGAAUUUGAAUUUUGGGGUGCGUGCGUUUUUGGGUAAUUCUUGAUGGAGUAUGAGUUUACGGUGAA
Long non-coding RNA from Quercus robur (English oak), 116 nucleotides. RefSeq lists it as uncharacterized. Lineage: Eukaryota; Viridiplantae; Streptophyta; Magnoliopsida; Fagales; Fagaceae. The record is from RefSeq and is a predicted model, not a curated record. The transcript is spliced from 2 exons.